RNAcentral lists this ribosomal RNA (1343 nucleotides) under uncultured bacterium. RNAcentral's name for it is "16S ribosomal RNA". It matches the Rfam family "Bacterial small subunit ribosomal RNA", at positions 28 to 1378 of the family's 1533-position model. The record is from RNAcentral.
GACGAACGCUGUCGGCGUGCUUAACACAUGCAAGUCGAACGGAAAGGCCCUGCUUUUGUGGGGUGCUCGAGUGGCGAACGGGUGAGUAACACGUGAGUAACCUGCCCUUGACUUUGGGAUAACUUCAGGAAACUGGGGCUAAUACCGGAUAGGAGCUCCUGCUGCAUGGUGGGGGUUGGAAAGUUUCGGCGGUUGGGGAUGGACUCGCGGCUUAUCAGCUUGUUGGUGGGGUAGUGGCUUACCAAGGCUUUGACGGGUAGCCGGCCUGAGAGGGUGACCGGCCACAUUGGGACUGAGAUACGGCCCAGACUCCUACGGGAGGCAGCAGUGGGGAAUAUUGCACAAUGGGCGGAAGCCUGAUGCAGCAACGCCGCGUGCGGGAUGACGGCCUUCGGGUUGUAAACCGCUUUCGCCUGUGACGAAGCGUGAGUGACGGUAAUGGGUAAAGAAGCACCGGCUAACUACGUGCCAGCAGCCGCGGUGAUACGUAGGGUGCGAGCGUUGUCCGGAUUUAUUGGGCGUAAAGGGCUCGUAGGUGGUUGAUCGCGUCGGAAGUGUAAUCUUGGGGCUUAACCCUGAGCGUGCUUUCGAUACGGGUUGACUUGAGGAAGGUAGGGGAGAAUGGAAUUCCUGGUGGAGCGGUGGAAUGCGCAGAUAUCAGGAGGAACACCAGUGGCGAAGGCGGUUCUCUGGGCCUUUCCUGACGCUGAGGAGCGAAAGCGUGGGGAGCGAACAGGCUUAGAUACCCUGGUAGUCCACGCUGUAAACGGUGGGUACUAGGUGUGGGGUCCAUUCCACGGGUUCCGUGCCGUAGCUAACGCUUUAAGUACCCCGCCUGGGGAGUACGGCCGCAAGGCUAAAACUCAAAGGAAUUGACGGGGCCCCGCACAAGCGGCGGAGCAUGCGGAUUAAUUCGAUGCAACGCGUAGAACCUUACCUGGGUUUGACAUGGAUCGGGAGUGCUCAGAGAUGGGUGUGCCUCUUUUGGGGUCGGUUCACAGGUGGUGCAUGGCUGUCGUCAGCUCGUGUCGUGAGAUGUUGGGUUAAGUCCCGCAACGAGCGCAACCCUUGUUCACUGUUGCCAGCACGUUAUGGUGGGGACUCAGUGGAGACCGCCGGGGUCAACUCGGAGGAAGGUGGGGAUGACGUCAAGUCAUCAUGCCCCUUAUGUCCAGGGCUUCACGCAUGCUACAAUGGCUGGUACAGAGAGUGGCGAGCCUGUGAGGGUGAGCGAAUCUCGGAAAGCCGGUCUCAGUUCGGAUUGGGGUCUGCAACUCGACCUCAUGAAGUCGGAGUCGCUAGUAAUCGCAAAUCAGCAACGCUGCGGUGAAUACGUUCCCGGG